This 371-nucleotide long non-coding RNA is filed under the name Ananas comosus (pineapple). RNAcentral's name for it is "long non-coding RNA (ACOM_LNC041726)". Lineage: Eukaryota; Viridiplantae; Streptophyta; Magnoliopsida; Poales; Bromeliaceae. The record is from RNAcentral.
AAGAACCACAAGUAGAUACAAGUGUAUAAAGAGAGAUAGUCUAACUAUUACAACCAUUCAACAUUUGAAUAUAUUACAUUUUCAAAAUGUGGAUACAUGUUUUCCUCAAAAUACAAGUAGCUCUCCUUAACUAUCCAAAACAUCAACUAGUACACGAGGGUACUCUAAUGCAUAAGGGAAAAGCUACUAGCUAGGCUCACUUAGGGCGCUAUGCCCUUGCCGCGAUCCUCGCUCGACUCGCCUCUGUGUGUACCUGUACCCCAAAACCACACGGGGUGAGAACUAUAUAAAUAUAGUUCCCAGUGGGUUCGACCGCCGACGCCGCCGGUUUUCCCACUAGGUCUAAGCUGGCACAGAUAGAGAGAUAGAUA